Molecule: long non-coding RNA, 628 nt
Organism: Oncorhynchus tshawytscha (Chinook salmon)
Lineage: Eukaryota; Metazoa; Chordata; Actinopteri; Salmoniformes; Salmonidae
Source: Ensembl
CUAACAACCAAAACAAAAGGGAAGCGGGGAUGAUCAUCUAAAAGAUUGUUUUUAGGAAUAUCUAAUAGUGAGCGCCAACUGACGGUGUUAAUCCUUCACAUCUCUCAAGACAACUGGAGCACUGGGUCAGCACAGGUGAAACACAUGCUGACUAAAGAGAUGGACAAGCCAGCACAGGUGAAACACAUGCUGACUAAAGAGAUGGACAAGCCAGCACAGGUGAAACACCUUCUGACUAAAGAGAUGGACAAGCCAGCACAGGUGAAACACCUUCCGACUAAAGAGAUGGACAAGCCAGCACAGGUGAAACACCUACUGACUAAAGAGAUGGACAAGCCAGCACUGGUGAAACACAUGCUGACUAAAGAGAUGGACAAGCCAGCACAGGUGAAACACCUACUGACUAAAGAGAUGGACAAGCCAGCACUGGUGAAACACAUGCUGACUAAAGAGAUGGACAAGCCAGCACAGGUGAAACACCUUCCGACUAAAGAGAUUGACAAGCCAGCACAGGUGAAACACCUUCCGACUAAAGAGAAGGACAAGCCAGCACAGGUGAAACACCUUCCGACUAAAGAGAUGGACAAGCCAGCACAGGUGAAACACAUGCUGACUAAAGAGAUGGACA